AUGCAAUCGCCGACGGAGAAGCCGGGCCCUGAUGGUUUCACUAGGGCAUUCUUCAGAGCUUGUUGGUCGAUCAUCAGCAACGACAUCAUGGCGACCCUUCACCAGUUCUAUCACCUUGCUGGUGGUAAUUUGGCUACUCUGAACACCGCCUUUGUUGCACUGCUGCCAAAUAAGGACGGAGCCGUGCGGAUGACAGACUUUCGCCCAAUUAGUCUCAUCCAUUCCUUCGCUAAGCUGAUCACUAAGGUGUUGUCAAUUAGGCUGACCAAAGUAAUCCACACAAUUGUCUCCCCUACAUAGUCAGCCUUCUUGAAGACGAGGUGUAUACAAGACAGCUUCCUCUAUGUUCAGAAUGGAGUGCGUGCUCUACACCGCACCAAAACCCCAGCUCUCCUGCUCAAACUAGACAUCUCCAAAGCGUUUGAUAGCGUAUCCUGGGAUUACUUGCUGGAGCUGUUACAGGAGCUGGGUUUCAGCGCUAGAUGGAGAGAUUGGAUUGCCUGGCUGUUGGCUUCUUCACACUCGGAAUUCCUGCUUAAUGGAGUGCCAGGGAGGAAAAUACAGCACCGCAAGGGCCUUCGCCAGGGCGAUCCACUCUCCCCUCUGCUGUUCAUUUUAGCCAUUGACCUGUUGCAACGCCUGAUUGAUGCAGCAGUCCAGUGA
This 663-nucleotide ribosomal RNA is filed under the name Triticum aestivum (bread wheat). RNAcentral describes it as "partial small subunit ribosomal RNA". The record is from RNAcentral. Lineage: Eukaryota; Viridiplantae; Streptophyta; Magnoliopsida; Poales; Poaceae.